RNAcentral lists this unclassified non-coding RNA (258 nucleotides) under Bombus terrestris (buff-tailed bumblebee). RNAcentral's name for it is "misc RNA ENSBTSG00005021533.1". The record is from RNAcentral. Lineage: Eukaryota; Metazoa; Arthropoda; Insecta; Hymenoptera; Apidae.
GAUGUUAGUGUUAGGUAGAUGAUAUAUUUACACUGUACAUGUGAAUGUGUGUGUAAGCGUCAGAGGCCGUCCAGGUUUCAGUUGAGACAAAAGACGAUGGGAAGCUGUUAGAAGAAUUUAGAGGAGUCGAUUGGCAACAAGCGUGCGUGCAAGAAGGUUAUCGAGGUCUUCAGAGUGUAAUAUAUAUGUAUAGCUGUUGCGUGCGAAAUAAAGUAAAUUAUUUGUGUUUCCGAAUCCUUUCUAUACCUUAACAAUAAU